UAUGACCACAACACGUUGAAACACCAGUUCGCGUACGAUCACCGAAGUUAAGCAACGUCGAGCCUGGUCCGUACCUGGAUUGGUGACCACUUAUGAAUGGCAUGUGCUGUAAG
This is a non-coding RNA of Acanthosepion pharaonis, 113 nucleotides long. The record is from the annotation of a GenBank genome assembly. NCBI's taxonomy places the organism in Eukaryota, Metazoa, Mollusca, Cephalopoda, Sepiida, Sepiidae.